Long non-coding RNA from Rosa chinensis, 4122 nucleotides. RefSeq lists it as uncharacterized. Lineage: Eukaryota; Viridiplantae; Streptophyta; Magnoliopsida; Rosales; Rosaceae. The transcript is spliced from 15 exons. The record is from RefSeq and is a predicted model, not a curated record.
CCCCCCACAAUCUCAGGCUGCCCGUACUAGAUGCUUCCAUCGGUUUCUUCUUUCUUCUACAGCCGUAUAACCAAGAUUGACUUCCGUAAGUGGUGAGAAGAGAGAGUGUGAUGCGAGUUUGCUGCCGAUAAGAAAGAAAGGGACUGUGAUAGAGGUCGAAAGAGACUCUGAGAGCGAAGAGGCUCUUUUGCUUUAACCACAACACUCCAAUAGCUCAAGUGAAACUCGCCUGCAGUCUAUUUGUUCUCUUGAUUUGAAGAUGAAGUUCUCUAAUCUGACGAUCCGUACUAUACCAUUUAAAAGAAACUUGAAAAACAAACAUAUUCAUCAGAAGCUUGGUUGAGACGGAGGGACGAGAAGAUCGAGGAGGACGAAGAUGGAACUGGGUCUUAAGAUACUCUAAAUGGUCCAAGUGAGGGAUAGAAGAGAGGGGAAGAUCUCGGCGAUAAUAGACCGGGUUGAAGGUAUUUUUGCUCUUUUGGUGGCUUUGAUGUUCAAUUGUGUGAAGAGAGAUGACAUUGAUUGCUCUCCUUACGAAGAGGGCGAGUGGAGAUAUUGAAGGGUUGAGUAGUUUUGAUGGGGAGGUUCUUUAGUCGACCAGAUUCAAAUCCGGGGUUGACUUCAAGAACAACAAUGUUUUGGUGGUUGGCUCUGGGAAUUCUGGCAUGUAAAUUGCUUUGGAUCUGGCAAACAAUGUUGCAAAGACUUCAAUCAUUGUUCAAAGCCCGGAAAGUUUCAGAAACUCAGAAAUUUGAGGAGAUUAGGAGAGAAUUUGUAUCAGCAGAGUCAAGGUUGUUCACUCUUGGGAAUACAUGAUACACCAACAUUACAGGCAAAGGAAAGACUUUUUCUUGAUUGAAAAUUGCGGAUUUUAAACAUGUCAAAGGUUAUAUCACAGUGGAAGUUUACAAGGAUGGUUCUCCAGAGGUUGUGGAUAGAUUUCUCGAUUUAUGGUUUUAUUCAGAAUCUUAUCAAGAGGAAGCAACUAAUUGAUGCUGUUAGAUGCAUUUGCAUCUUGCAGUUAAUUGACAAGUUCUGCCAAAAAAAAAAAAAAAGAAUUUAUCCAACCUCUGACUGCAUACAUGGCUCCAUACACUCUAAACAAAAAAGUAAUUACACUAUUGGUUCAUCACAACCUCAACCAACCAUUACAAAGUUCAUUCAGCACAAACUGGAAGAAAAAGAGGAGGAAAGAAGUGAAAACAUAGGACAAAAUGAUCUUCUUGCACGAUACAGAAUAAUCUGCUACCUCCAAUACAAAAACAGCAUCACAGGCUACAUUCAUAGCAACUUUGAAUCUAGCUGCCACAUUCAUUGGCAAGAGUCACCACAACAUUCAUAUCGGUCAGGUUGAAGAGAUACUUGGAGAUGAGGCAUGUUGAUGGAAAGCUGGCCUUCGAGAAGCUUAUCUGCUUUACUUGCAUUUGGGGACUGAACCAUAAUCUGGAUCAAUUUUCAGUGAGAUUAGUGGAACAACAAGCCACAAAACCUCAAAUUUUCAAGCCAACAUUUAUCAAACACUUCUCAUUAUUGUGUUCUAUUUAUAGCAUCAUUAAACUAUACAUACCAAGUUUGAUUUGAAGUUAUUAAUUCCAGUGAGAACUUCAUGUAACGUGUUCUAAUCAUGCAGCUAAAAAUUCAAAAGCUGUACCAACCUCAAAGGCUAUGUACAUCUUCUGAAUUCUUUAACUGCAUGAUUAAAACAGGUUACACGAAUUUCUCCACCGGAAUCAAUAAAUUCAAACCAAACCAAAUCUGUAAAUUUCAACAAAACAUUUAAACUUCAGUUAUUCCAAUAACAUAUAACAAUAAUUCCCGCAGCAAAGCGCGGGCACUCUUUCUCGUAUAUUGCAAUUUUGAUACAUUCUCUAUAUACUAAACGUGAGUUGCACUGUUUUACUGUUCAUAAGAGCUACAGUGCCUUGGGGUCAAAAAAGAUUGUUCUGCCCUCCUUUGAGAUAUUUUUGUUGUUGUAGUGUGUAUCGAUGGAUCUUCUUCUCUCUUCUAGAGCCCUCUACUGUAAUCCCUCCCUCACACCCUAAAGUCAAAAUCCACCUCAAAACCCAAAAAUCACAACAAAAAAGAGCAACAGAGAGAGAGUUGUGAGCAGCAAGAACAGGACCAUAGCUUCCAAAACAGAGCCGACCAGAAGCUUCAAAACCAGAGCCGACCCAGACGAGCACAAAGCCACCAUCUUUGCUGCACAGUAGUGAAGGUUGACCUGGGAUUGACGACGAAGAGACUCUUUGGUUGAUCAUGAACUUGACUUGGUUUGCUUAAAUCUCGGACUCCUCCUCUGCAAAUCAGCUCAGUGAAAUAUGUGUUCUUCAGUCCAGAGAAAGAGGCGAGAUGAAAGAAAGGGAGAAGAGAACCCGGGAAGAAGGAAGAGAAAGAGAAGAGACAGACCGGAAGCUCUUGACUAAAACAACACAAAGUGGAAGGUUUCGCUUGCUAUUUUUGUUAUUGCGUUUCACUUUAUGAGUAUUGUUGUUUUCAGUUUUCCAUUAUUGAAAUGAUUGAGGCUGAAUUAGUGUGGUGUUUCCAGUCAAAAACAUAAUUGUAUCCUGCAAGUAGUUUCACAGUUGUUUACAAUCGUUAUCUACUCAUCGGAUUAUGGCUCUUUCAUGGAAUUGUUUAGUUGGUUUUCUAGAUUUGUGGAUUCUGCAGACGAUUCUUAAUAUCUGUAAAACAGUAAGCUUAGAAGUAAUGUGGGGAAAUUCCUCUUAGAGAUCUGUAAAACAAUAAGCUUAGAAUUUUCGCUUGAUCUCAUCAAUAUUAGACAACUUUGAUUGGGACCUUUGAGGAAUGUGCAGUUGAAAUGGCACAUCUCAAAGGUAAAUUUUUUUUUUUUUUGGGAUGAAAUUGCACUUUCAUUUCCCCAAGGAGAUGAGAGACAAAGCUAGGUUUUUUGACAGCUCCUGCAGUUUAUGUUGCUGUUUUUAAAGAAAAUCUGACACUGCCCAAUCGCCAUUUCCGUGUAUCAUCUUAGCCAAAGCUAGCUUUCUCUUAAAAUAUGCAAAAGGAAAGUUUUUAUCUGCAAAUAUGAAAGUUUAGAACAUUGAUUUUUGAAAAAUGAAAUCUUUAAGCAAAGGCCUCCCAUCUGGUUUCUUUUGAUAGCUCUCUGGCUCUUACCCGAGAGCGCCUACUAACUCCAAUAUGUAAUCUAAUCAAAAACGUCUUUUAGCUCAUUUGUUUUGUGCGCGAGUCUUCAAGGUCUUUACUCUGCAAAGUUUAAGUUCUUUACCUUUCCAUAGCAGUUUAAGUUUGAUUACAUUUGGCGGUUUGCUUUGGCUCUUGCUUUUGUCUAAAAUGUCGUUAUUAACGAUUGUAACUAAAGGUUCUCAUAAUUAAUAUAAUAUCGGAUAUGAUGGAAGAAGUUCAAAGUGAAACAAUUUGAAUUGUUUUGGAUUACAAAUAUACUUCAUUUCAAAUUCAUUGAUAUCACGUAGAGCCUGUGAGAUGGCUCGAUAGUUAGUUUAUUGUUUGAAUGCCUUUCUGCCUCAAAAUGGAAUAUUUUCUCAAACUAAGGGGCAGAAAAAAGAGUUGUAUUCUUGCCAUAAAUGCAUUUUGGAUUGCAGGACUCUUUGCUUUAUGGUUAGUUAGGAUAUUUCUGCUCAGGUUUGUGAUCACCUUUGAAUUAUGUUAUCAAUUGUUUUGAACCAAAGAACAUGCAUAGAUAUAGUUUGCAUAAAAUCUGACACUAGACAUCUAUUAAACAGCACCAACAAUCUGUAUUAGUUGCUAGAUAAGACUGAACCAUAUUUCAAACUAAGAAUCUAUUAAAGGGAUGCAAGUCUGGUUUUUUUUUUUUCCUUCUUUUCAGAGUUAUUUACUUUCAAUUUGUGAAAUUUGAUGCUUCUCUUUUUUAAUUUCUCCUUCUUAUGGAAUUCAAAAUUCAAUAUAUCUGUAUGAACUUGAGUCAGAAUAGGAAGAUCAUAUUACUCUACCAAAACUUACAAACUCUGCCUACAUUUUGUACCUUCUGGUAAUGAUUAUUACUGGGAUUUUAGUUUGCUUCUUAAUGUCAUUCUAAAAGGUCAACUAUAGUACUCAGCUCUUAAAAUCUGAUUUGAGUAUCUCCUACACUACAGUUCACAAAUCAAAAUGAGAAAAAAAAAAAAA